UACGGAGGGUGCAAGCGUUGUCCGGAUUUAUUGGGCUUAAAGGGUGCGUAGGCGGCCCUGUAAGUCAGUGGUGAAAGCCUCCAGCUCAACUGGAGAACUGCCAUUGAUACUGCAGGGCUUGAGUACAGACGAGGAUGGCGGAAUUGAUGGUGUAGCGGUGAAAUGCAUAGAUACCAUCAAGAACACCGAUUGCGUAGGCAGCUAACUAGGCUGUAACUGACGCUGAGGCACGAAAGCGUGGGGAGCGAACAGG
This 253-nucleotide ribosomal RNA is filed under the name uncultured bacterium. RNAcentral's name for it is "partial 16S ribosomal RNA". It matches the Rfam family "Bacterial small subunit ribosomal RNA", at positions 524 to 776 of the family's 1533-position model. The record is from RNAcentral.